GGUCCAGGCUUUUGAUGGGAGCGGAGGUCUCACUUCUCUAACCACAGGGAGAUCCUUGGGGUAGGACCAUGUGCACCACAAUGAUGGUCCUUACUAGCAUCGGUCUCAUUCUACGACAUAGAUUCUCCAGUAAAAUCAAUCCGCAGAUGGAGGAAGAGGUGCCAUAUGUGAAGAGCAACCAAGCAGCAGACGAUCAUAAAUGACAGUCUGCACAUGGUGGUUCAUACCAAGAUUCCAUCAAGGAGUGAAGAAACAAAAUAGUGGGAGAGAAAGAACUGACGCUGUUUUCAUCUGCCCUGCACACUCUCGCUAUUCUGCGACAAAGAAUGGAGAGAAAGGGAAUUUGGGCUGAAUUCCAGUUUGAAGAUAGCAUGUUCUGUGUUCUCUUGCCAGAUUAAGCUGCUUAGAUUUACACAGUGACCUUAAUUGUUGUUUGAUUUAGUUUUCCUUCACUGUAUGAAAGUGUUAAAAGCAAGAGCUCAAGCAAAACAUGUAGAGUAUUGUGCCUCCUUGCAAAAAAAAAUGAUACUUUAUUACUUCCUUUCUUCAAGCACAGAUGUUAAGAUGUUUUUCAUGUACUCAUGAAGAAAGCUCUGAUGCUCUUUUUAAGGAAUUAAGUGACCUAAAUUCUUGAGAAAUUGACAAAUGAAAUAUCAGCCAGUAAAAUAUCAUAAGAUUAAUUGUCCUGUUGCCUCAAAAUUUGUUUACUUUUUUUUUUUUUUUUUUUUUAAAGUACGUCUGUGGUGUGCCGUAAAGCAUCUACAUAUGUGAAGCUCAUGGCAAGGAAAGGAGUACAAACAGCGGGAAGGUCAGCUCAUAUUACCAAAGGAAUGCAGUAUAGUUGAAGAACAUUGUAGAUCAGGGGUCACCAACCCUUUUGAAACUAAGAGCUAAUACUUGGGUCAUUAAUGUGAAGAGCUACUAAUUUCAUACAUUCUGUACUUCUAUGGGCAC
Long non-coding RNA from Corythoichthys intestinalis (scribbled pipefish), 954 nucleotides. RefSeq lists it as uncharacterized. The record is from RefSeq and is a predicted model, not a curated record. The transcript has 3 exons. NCBI's taxonomy places the organism in Eukaryota, Metazoa, Chordata, Actinopteri, Syngnathiformes, Syngnathidae.